CUUAUCAUAUAAAUCAUAUAGUCUAAUAAGGAUAUUAAAUUGCAAAUUUAAUGGUAACUUUGG
This 63-nucleotide transfer RNA is filed under the name Sipalinus gigas. Its description in RNAcentral is "tRNA-Cys". The record is from RNAcentral. Lineage: Eukaryota; Metazoa; Arthropoda; Insecta; Coleoptera; Curculionidae.